Small nucleolar RNA from Lotus japonicus, 107 nucleotides. The record is from RefSeq and is a predicted model, not a curated record. Lineage: Eukaryota; Viridiplantae; Streptophyta; Magnoliopsida; Fabales; Fabaceae.
AGGUUGUGCUGUGGGCACUUCCUCAAAAGCUUUUUGAAGCGCUCCCAAGCUUCAUAAAGAUUUUCAUCGGCUACUUGGGCAAACGUCAUUAUAUCAUUCUUCAAUUU